GCUCUGACUAGAUUGCACUACU
This 22-nucleotide microRNA is filed under the name Dasypus novemcinctus (nine-banded armadillo). RNAcentral's name for it is "dno-miR-301b-5p". Its record names the gene dno-miR-301b-5p. Lineage: Eukaryota; Metazoa; Chordata; Mammalia; Cingulata; Dasypodidae. The record is from miRBase by way of RNAcentral.